GGUGCGUUAGUGUAGUCGGUCAUCACGCAUGCUUUACAAGCAUGUCGCGGUUUCGAAUACCGCACGCUCCA
RNAcentral lists this transfer RNA (71 nucleotides) under Polymyxa betae. Its description in RNAcentral is "tRNA-Val". Lineage: Eukaryota; Endomyxa; Phytomyxea; Plasmodiophorida; Plasmodiophoridae. The record is from RNAcentral.